UCCGGUUUGUCACCGGCAGUCUCCUUAGAGUGCCCACCCGAACCGCUGGCAACAUAGGACAAGGGUUGCGCUCGUUGCGGGACUUAACCCAACAUCUCACGACACGAGCUGACGACAGCCAUGCAGCACCUGUGCACGAGCUCCGAAGAGGGGUCACUGUUUCCAGCAACUUUCCCGUGCAUGUCAAGCCUAGGUAAGGUUCUGCGCGUUGCGUCGAAUUAAACCACAUGCUCCACCGCUUGUGCGGGCCCCCGUCAAUUCCUUUGAGUUUCAGCCUUGCGGCCGUACUCCCCAGGCGGGGCGCUUAAUGCGUUAGCUGCGGCACGGAAGGAGUCGAUGACCUCCCACACCUAGCGCCCAUCGUUUACGGCGUGGACUAC
Molecule: unclassified non-coding RNA, 380 nt
Filed under: uncultured bacterium
Lineage: Bacteria
Description: contains 16S-23S intergenic spacer region
Source: RNAcentral